GCGCGAGUAGCUAAGUGGUAAAGCAGAAGCCUGCAAAGCUUCCAUGCGGGGGUUCGAUUCCCUCCUCGCGCU
RNAcentral lists this transfer RNA (72 nucleotides) under Candidatus Pacearchaeota archaeon CG1_02_39_14. RNAcentral's name for it is "tRNA-Cys". It matches the Rfam family "tRNA". From Rfam's summary of the family: Transfer RNA (tRNA) molecules are approximately 80 nucleotides in length. Their secondary structure includes four short double-helical elements and three loops (D, anti-codon, and T loops). RNAcentral also lists the same sequence under 2 other names. Lineage: Archaea; Nanobdellati. The record is from RNAcentral.